UAACGUCAGCGGCAGACGGGUGAGUAACGCGUGGGAACAUACCUUUUGGUUCGGAACAACACAGGGAAACUUGUGCUAAUACCGGAUAAGCCCUUACGGGGAAAGAUUUAUCGCCGAAAGAUUGGCCCGCGUCUGAUUAGCUAGUUGGUGAGGUAACGGCUCACCAAGGCGACGAUCAGUAGCUGGUCUGAGAGGAUGAUCAGCCACAUUGGGACUGAGACACGGCCCAA
Molecule: ribosomal RNA, 230 nt
Filed under: uncultured bacterium
Lineage: Bacteria
Description: partial 16S ribosomal RNA
Rfam family: Bacterial small subunit ribosomal RNA
Source: RNAcentral